UACGUAGGGUGCGAGCGUUAAUCGGAAUUACUGGGCGUAAAGCGUGCGCAGGCGGUCUGUUAAGACCGAUGUGAAAUCCCCCGGGCUUAACCUGGGAACUGCAUUGGUGACUGGCAGGCUAGAGUAUGGCAGAGGGGGGUAGAAUUCCACGUGUAGCAGUGAAAUGCGUAGAGAUGUGGAGGAAUACCGAUGGCGAAGGCAGCUCGCUGGGACGUGACUGACGCUGAGACGCGAAAGCGUGGGGAGCGAACAGGAUUAGAAACCUAGUA
RNAcentral lists this ribosomal RNA (269 nucleotides) under uncultured bacterium. RNAcentral describes it as "partial 16S ribosomal RNA". It matches the Rfam family "Bacterial small subunit ribosomal RNA", at positions 524 to 792 of the family's 1533-position model. The record is from RNAcentral.